GGGGUUGUGGCUCAGUGGUAGAGCACUUGCCUUGCGUACAUGAGACACUGUGUUUGAUCCUCAGCACCA
Molecule: transfer RNA, 69 nt
Filed under: Urocitellus parryii (Arctic ground squirrel)
Lineage: Eukaryota; Metazoa; Chordata; Mammalia; Rodentia; Sciuridae
Also listed under: 1 other name
Description: Spermophilus parryii (Arctic ground squirrel) tRNA
Rfam family: tRNA
About the family: Transfer RNA (tRNA) molecules are approximately 80 nucleotides in length. Their secondary structure includes four short double-helical elements and three loops (D, anti-codon, and T loops).
Source: Rfam by way of RNAcentral